RNAcentral lists this long non-coding RNA (635 nucleotides) under Nicotiana benthamiana. RNAcentral describes it as "long non-coding RNA (NBEN_LNC017609)". The record is from RNAcentral. Lineage: Eukaryota; Viridiplantae; Streptophyta; Magnoliopsida; Solanales; Solanaceae.
GGAUAAAAUGCAUAAUAAGGCAAACACAAAAGCACAGGAGAAGAACAUGCGAGGAAAUAACAUAAGAACUCAAGCAAAAAACUCAUAAGAACAUGGCAUAUACAGAUAGAUUCACAAAAAGAAAAGAAAACGAAUAAGAGACAGAAGUCGUUUUAAGAUUUUCAGAAAACCCAAAAUUGAAACAGGCUAAAUUUGAAAAAGAAAAAUUGGGGAAAAGCUUCAAAACGUUGAAUACAACAUAGAUUCAUCACAUAUCUAAGAAAAUAAGAGAAGAAGGAACCUCGAAAUAGCUUUAAGGUUUCUCAGAAACCCUAAAAAUGAGAAGGCUUGGAAAGGGUCUGGUCUCGAAUAGGUUUGAGCCAUAGCUAGGCUCUUAAGUCUUAACCACGUCAGAAUAGAGCCGGAGAGGCCAUAGGAGCAUAGAUCGGCAAAGAAUAUUAACAAGCAUCGUUGGGGUCGGACCUCAAACCUUGAAAAACCAGGGUCUGGAGGUUAAAGCAGGUGAGCAUAAGCUGUCCAUGGCCUGAGAAGCCAUGGACUCCGGUGAAGAUUGAUCGGAGAAGACGAGGGAGAUGAUUCGAGGGGUUGAGAGCAUUUGAGAGGAGGAGAGUUCGAAGGCGACUAUCAGAGAGAAA